UACGUAGGGUGCAAGCGUUAAUCGGAAUUACUGGGCGUAAAGCGUGCGCAGGCGGUUAUGUAAGACAGUUGUUAAAUCCCCGGGCUCAACCUGGGAACUGCAUCUGUGACUGCAUAGCUAGAGUACGGUAGAGGGGGAUGGAAUUCCGCGUGUAGCAGUGAAAUGCGUAGAUAUGCGGAGGAACACCGAUGGCGAAGGCAAUCCCCUGGAACUGUACUGACGCUCAUGCACGAAAGCCUGGGGAGCAAACAGG
This 253-nucleotide ribosomal RNA is filed under the name uncultured bacterium. RNAcentral describes it as "partial 16S ribosomal RNA". It matches the Rfam family "Bacterial small subunit ribosomal RNA", at positions 524 to 776 of the family's 1533-position model. The record is from RNAcentral.